Molecule: long non-coding RNA, 867 nt
Organism: Daphnia pulex (common water flea)
Lineage: Eukaryota; Metazoa; Arthropoda; Branchiopoda; Diplostraca; Daphniidae
Exons: 5
Source: RefSeq, a predicted model, not a curated record
GCUAAAUUCAUUCUUAGUUGAAUGUCGAAUCGCUAAUACCAUUGUUGGUUAUGGUAGAACAGUUUUCCAUACUGGUACGCUGUAUGACGUCGAGCAUUGCCAAAAUGGAAGUGCUCUUUGAAGAACUGAGCGUCUAAAUCUUCUUCAGUCAGAUGAAGCUAACGGAUUCGGAAAUCGUCGAAGAAGCAGAGGACAUCACAGCUGAAAAAAAAAACGUGAGUCAAACUCCUGUGGUUAAGUUCUGCAGCUACUCUCAAAAUAUUUUGUCUUGUUUGCUCGUGUUGAUUGUAGACUGCUUUUAAAUUAUCUAUCAGUGAAGCCCUAAUAAGAGGUCCAAGAGAAAUUUAUUCGGGUCAACUGAUACCAUACCACGUACUAAAUCGUUAAUGGUUUUCAGGUAAAAAAUAACCAUGAGAAUAUGGGGUCGCAGAAAUAGAUGUCAACUGGUGGAAAAUAAGAAGGUGAUACGGUAUUUCUCUUUUCUUUUUUAAAAAUACUGUCUGAUUUUUAAAGAUUUGGUGAGGAACAUCCAAUCUGUCGAUCGCGGUCGCUAACCAAUUGGUAGAAAAACAGCACCAAUAAUGGUCGAACUCGGAUGUGCUUUAUUCGAGAUUUUAACACAAAUUGCAUUUUAUCAUCAAUUAUGAUUCUUAAAGGCAACUUUUGAAGUUUUUGUGGGCACUGAUUUGCAGAGUACUCGUGACCAACAGAUAAAAUGGCCCAAUUGCAAAUUUGCAAGCUGUCUUCAAAAACCAAGGAAUUUCUAUUUGCAAGUCUAAUUAGGUAGAAAACCUUUCUCUGAAAAGUUUAGGAACCAUUGUUAAUUUGAAUUGACCCAUUCCAAUCCCCAGCAACGUAAACCUGCAG